Molecule: ribosomal RNA, 886 nt
Filed under: uncultured bacterium
Lineage: Bacteria
Description: bacterial SSU rRNA
Rfam family: Bacterial small subunit ribosomal RNA
Source: RNAcentral
UCAGAUUGAACGCUGGCGGAAUGCUUUACACAUGCAAGUCGAACGAUGAUUUCUAGCUUGCUAGAAUGAUUAGUGGCGAACGGGUGAGUAAUGUACCGGAACGUAUCCAAUAAUGGGGGAUAACUAAUCGAAAGGUUGGCUAAUACCGCAUACGCCCUACGGGGGAAAGCAGGGGAUCUUCGGACCCUUGCGUUAAUGGAGCGGCCGAUAUCUGAUUAGCUAGUUGGUGAGGUAAAAGCUCACCAAGGCGACGAUCAGUAGCUGGUCUGAGAGGACGACCAGCCACACUGGAACUGAGACACGGUCCAGACUCCUACGGGAGGCAGCAGUGGGGAAUUUUGGACAAUGGGCGAAAGCCUGAUCCAGCCAUUCCGCGUGAGUGAAGAAGGCCUUCGGGUUGUAAAGCUCUUUCGCAAGGGAAGAAACGAUGCAGUCGAAUAAACUGUGUUAAUGACGGUACCUUGAUAAGAAGCACCGGCUAACUACGUGCCAGCAGCCGCGGUAAUACGUAGGGUGCAAGCGUUAAUCGGAAUUACUGGGCGUAAAGCGUGCGCAGGCGGUUUUGUAAGUCAGAUGUGAAAUCCCCGAGCUCAACUUGGGAACUGCGUUUGAAACUACAAGACUAGAAUAUGUCAGAGGGGGGUAGAAUUCCACGUGUAGCAGUGAAAAUGCGUAGAGAUGUGGAGGAAUACCAAUGGCGAAGGCAGCCCCCUGGGAUAAUAUUGACGCUCAUGCACGAAAGCGUGGGGAGCAAACAGGAUUAGAUACCCUGGUAGUCCACGCCCUAAACGAUGUCUACUAGUUGUUGGUGGAGUAAAAUCCAUGAGUAACGCAGCUAACGCGUGAAGUAGACCGCCUGGGGAGUACGGUCGCAAGAUUAAAACUC